RNAcentral lists this ribosomal RNA (324 nucleotides) under uncultured eukaryote. RNAcentral describes it as "partial 18S ribosomal RNA". It matches the Rfam family "Eukaryotic small subunit ribosomal RNA", at positions 1470 to 1796 of the family's 1831-position model. The record is from RNAcentral.
CCCUUAGAUGCUCUGGGCCGCACGCGCGCUACACUGGUCGAUGCAACGAGUUUCUUUCCUUGGCCGACAGGCCUGGGCAAUCUUUGAACAUCGAUCGUGAUCGGGCUAGAUUCUUGUAAUUUUUGAUCUUAAACGAGGAAUUCCUAGUAAACGCAAGUCAUCAGCUUGCAUUGAUUACGUCCCUGCCCUUUGUACACACCGCCCGUCGCACCUACCGAUUGAAUGGUCCGGUGAAAUCUCCGGACUGGCGUGAGUCGGAGCAAUCUGACAAACACCGGAAAGUUGAUUAAACCUUACCAUUUAGAGGAAGGUGAAGUCGUAACA